Molecule: ribosomal RNA, 440 nt
Filed under: uncultured bacterium
Lineage: Bacteria
Description: partial 16S ribosomal RNA
Rfam family: Bacterial small subunit ribosomal RNA
Source: RNAcentral
CCUACGGUAGGCAGCAGUGGGGAAUAUUGCACAAUGGGGGAAACCCUGAUGCAGCGACGCCGCGUGAGUGAAGAAGUAUUUCGGUAUGUAAAGCUCUAUCAGCAGGGAAGAAAAUGACGGUACCUGACUAAGAAGCCACGGCUAACUACGUGCCAGAAGCCGCGGGAAUACGUAGGGGGCCAGCGUUAUACGGAGUUACUGUGAGUAAAGGGGGGGGAGAGGGAGGCAAAAGUAUGGAGUGAAACGCCGGGGCUCAACCCCGGGACGGAGUUUGAAACUGUGCAGCUAUAGUGCAGGAGAGGUAUGCGGAAUUCCUAGUGUAGCGGUGAAAUGCGUCGAUAUUAGGAGGAACACCAGUGGCGAAGGCGGCUUACUGGACUGUAACUGACGUUGAGGCUCGAAAGCGUGGGGAGCAAACAGGAUUAGAUACCCUAGUAGUC